UUAAGUUCAGCGGGUAGUCCUACCUGAUUUGAGGUCAGAGGGGCAUCGAAAGGAGAAGCUGAGACACUCAAGUCAGUGUAAACAAAUUAUCACACUGAUGGUCUCCAAAGCUAAUGCUUUUGAGGAGAGCUGGCUCAAACAGACCAGCAAUAUACUCCCAAAGUCCAAAACACCCAAGAAAAGUGUUUUGAUAGUUUAAU
Molecule: unclassified non-coding RNA, 200 nt
Filed under: Amanita sp.
Lineage: Eukaryota; Fungi; Basidiomycota; Agaricomycetes; Agaricales; Amanitaceae
Description: partial internal transcribed spacer 2
Source: RNAcentral